RNAcentral lists this non-coding RNA (420 nucleotides) under Triticum urartu. Its description in RNAcentral is "Bacterial large subunit ribosomal RNA". It matches the Rfam family "Bacterial large subunit ribosomal RNA", at positions 107 to 555 of the family's 2925-position model. The record is from Rfam by way of RNAcentral. Lineage: Eukaryota; Viridiplantae; Streptophyta; Magnoliopsida; Poales; Poaceae.
GUAUUUCAGGCAAAUGGCGUCAGAGUAAAGUUUUGCCCUUUUCAAUCUUUUUUAGUGUGGGAAGGAAAAAGAAAGAAAAAAUGGAUUGGAUUGAACCUCGAAGUGAUGAAAAAAAUGGGCAAACCCCAUUUUUAAAAUAGAAUUAAUAUAAAGUGGUGCCCUAGCUAAAUCAGGCCUCAACCUAAACCGUGAAAACAUGUUUUUGGGAGAGCAAUAUAGGCGUUGUGCCGCUAGGCAAAGUGGUUGAGUGCGACACCCUAGCUUACGCUCCGACCCGAGUAGAAUGGGACACGUGCAAUCGUGUGUGAAUCACGAAGGACCAACUUGCAAGGCUAAAUACUCCCAUGUGAUCGAAAGCGAAUAGUGCUAUGAGAAAAAGGUGGAAAGUACCCCUAGUGGGUGGUGAAAUAGAACGCGAAA